This 440-nucleotide ribosomal RNA is filed under the name uncultured bacterium. Its description in RNAcentral is "partial 16S ribosomal RNA". It matches the Rfam family "Bacterial small subunit ribosomal RNA", at positions 338 to 795 of the family's 1533-position model. The record is from RNAcentral.
CCUACGGGUGGCUGCAGUGGGGAAUAUUGCACAAUGGGGGAAACCCUGAUGCAGCGACGCCGCGUGAGCGAUGAAGUAUUUCGGUAUGUAAAGCUCUAUCAGCAGGGAAGAAAAUGACGGUACCUGACUAAGAAGCCCCGGCUAACUACGUGCCAGCAGCCGCGGUAAUACGUAGGGGGCAAGCGUGAUCCGGAUUUACUGGGUGUAAAGGGAGCGUAGACGGCGAUGCAAGCCAGAUGUGAAAGCCCGGGGCGCAACCCCGGGACUGCAUUUGGAACUGUAUAGCUGGAGUGUCGGAGAGGCAGGCGGAAUUCCGAGGGUAGCGGUGAAAGGCGUAGAGAUUAGGAGGAACACCAGUGGCGAAGGCGGCCUGCUGGACGAUGACUGACGUUGAGGCUCGAAAGCGUGGGGAGCAAACAGGAUUAGAUACCCGGGUAGUC